Molecule: ribosomal RNA, 1324 nt
Filed under: uncultured Bacteroides sp.
Lineage: Bacteria; Pseudomonadati; Bacteroidota; Bacteroidia; Bacteroidales; Bacteroidaceae
Description: bacterial SSU rRNA
Rfam family: Bacterial small subunit ribosomal RNA
Source: RNAcentral
AUUAAUACAAGAUGGCAUCAUGAGUCCACAUGUUCACAUGAUUAAAGGUAUUCCGGUAGACGAUGGGGAUGCGUUCCAUUAGAUAGUAGGCGGGGUAACGGCCCACCUAGUCUUCGAUGGAUAGGGGUUCUGAGAGGAAGGUCCCCCACAUUGGAACUGAGACACGGUCCAAACUCCUACGGGAGGCAGCAGUGAGGAAUAUUGGACAAUGGGCGAGAGCCUGAACCAGCCAAGUAGCGUGAAGGAUGACUGCCCUAUGGGUUGUAAACUUCUUUUAUAAAGGAAUAAAGUCGGGUAUGCAUACCCGUUUGCAUGUACUCUAUGAAUAAGGAUCGGCUAACUCCGUGCCAGCAGCCGCGGUAAUACGGAGGAUCCGAGCGUUAUCCGGAUUUAUUGGGUUUAAAGGGAGCGUAGAUGGAUGUUUAAGUCAGUUGUGAAAGUUUGCGGCUCAACCGUAAAAUUGCAGUUGAUACUGGAUAUCUUGAGUGCAGUUGAAGCAGGCGGAAUUCGUGGUGUAGCGGUGAAAUGCUUAGAUAUCACGAAGAACUCCGAUUGCGAAGGCAGCCUGCUAAGCUGCAACUGACAUUGAGGCUCGAAAGUGUGGGUAUCAAACAGGAUUAGAUACCCUGGUAGUCCACACGGUAAACGAUGAAUACUCGCUGUUUGCGAUAUACUGCAAGCGGCCAAGCGAAAGCGUUAAGUAUUCCACCUGGGGAGUACGCCGGCAACGGUGAAACUCAAAGGAAUUGACGGGGGCCCGCACAAGCGGAGGAACAUGUGGUUUAAUUCGAUGAUACGCGAGGAACCUUACCCGGGCUUAAAUUGCAGAUGAAUUACGGUGAAAGCCGUAAGCCGCAAGGCAUCUGUGAAGGUGCUGCAUGGUUGUCGUCAGCUCGUGCCGUGAGGUGUCGGCUUAAGUGCCAUAACGAGCGCAACCCUUGUUGUCAGUUACUAACAGGUUCCGCUGAGGACUCUGACAAGACUGCCAUCGUAAGAUGUGAGGAAGGUGGGGAUGACGUCAAAUCAGCACGGCCCUUACGUCCGGGGCUACACACGUGUUACAAUGGGGGGUACAGAGGGCCGCUACCACGCGAGUGGAUGCCAAUCCCAAAAACCUCUCUCAGUUCGGACUGGAGUCUGCAACCCGACUCCACGAAGCUGGAUUCGCUAGUAAUCGCGCAUCAGCCACGGCGCGGUGAAUACGUUCCCGGGCCUUGUACACACCGCCCGUCAAGCCAUGGGAGCCGGGGGUACCUGAAGUGCGUAACCGCGAGGAGCGCCCUAGGGUAAAACUGGUGACUGGGGCUAAGUCGUAACAAGGUAA